Gigantopelta aegis is the source of this 1399-nucleotide long non-coding RNA. RefSeq lists it as uncharacterized. The record is from RefSeq and is a predicted model, not a curated record. The transcript has 3 exons. Lineage: Eukaryota; Metazoa; Mollusca; Gastropoda; Neomphalida; Peltospiridae.
UUGUUACAUGUUAACCGGAGAGAGAGCCAAGUGACACGAAAUAGGUACUAAACUUGUUACAUGUUAACCGGAGAGAGAGCCAAGUGACACGAAAUAGGUACUAAACUUGUUACAUGUUAACCGGAGAGAGAGCCAAGUGACACGAAAUAGGUACUAAACUUGUUACAUGUUAACUAGAGAGAGAGCCAAGUGACACGAAAUAGGUACUAAACUUGUUACGUGUUAACCGGAGAGAGAGCCAAGUUACACGAAAUAGGUACUAAACUUGUUACGUGUUAACCGGAGAGAGAGCCAAGUUACACGAAAUAGGUACUAAACUUGUUACAUGUUAACCGGAGAGAGAGCCAAGUGACACGAAAUAGGUACUAAACUUGUUACGUGUUAACAGGAGAGAGAGCCAAGUGACACGAAAUAGGUACUAAACUUGUUACCUGUUAACAGGAGAGAGAGCCAAGUGACACGAAAUAGGUACUAAACUUGUUACGUGUUAACAGGAGAGAGAGCCAAGUGACACGAAAUAGGUACUAAACUUGUUACGUGUUAACCGGAGAGAGAGCCAAGUGACACGAAAUAGGUACUAAACUUGUUACCUGUUAACAGGAGAGAGAGCCAAGUGACACGAAAUAGGUACUAAACUUGUUACGUGUUAACAGGAGAGAGAGCCAAGUGACACGAAAUAGGUACUAAACUUGUUACGUGUUAACCGGAGAGAGAGCCAAGUGACACGAAAUAGGUACUAAACUUGUUACGUGUUAACUGGAGAGAGCCAAGUUACACGAAAUAGGUACUAAACUUGUUACGUGUUAACCGGAGAGAGCCAAGUUACACGAAAUAGGUACUAAACUUGUUACGUGUUAACCGGAGAGAGAGCCAAGUGACACGAAAUAGGUACUAAACUUGUUACGUGUUAACAGGAGAGAGAGCCAAGUGACACGAAAUAGGUACUAAACUUGUUACGUGUUAACAGGAGAGAGAGCCAAGUGACACGAAAUAGGUACUAAACUUGUUACGUGUUAACAGGAGAGAGAGCCAAGUGACACGAAAUAGGUACUAAACUUGUUACGUGUUAACCGGAGAGAGAGCCAAGUGACACGAAAUAGGUACUAAACUUGUUACGUGUUAACCGGAGAGAGAGCCAAGUGACACGAAAUAGGUACUAAACUUGUUACGUGUUAACCGGAGAGAGAGCCAAGUGACACGAAAUAGGUACUAAACUUGUUACGUGUUAACCGGAGAGAGAGCCAAGUGACACGAAAUAGGUACUAAACUUGUUACGUGUUAACCGGAGAGAGAGCCAAGUGACACGAAAUAGGUACUAAACUUGUUACGUGUUAACCGGAGAGAGAGCCAAGUGACACGAAAUAGGUACUAAACUUGUUACGUGUUAACCGGAGAGAGA